RNAcentral lists this ribosomal RNA (1249 nucleotides) under metagenome. RNAcentral's name for it is "bacterial LSU rRNA". It matches the Rfam family "Bacterial large subunit ribosomal RNA", at positions 1634 to 2875 of the family's 2925-position model. The record is from RNAcentral.
CCAUACGACCGUACCGCAAACCGACACUGGUGCGCGAGAUGAGUAUUCUAAGGCGCUUGAGAGAACUCAGGAGAAGGAACUCGGCAAAUUGACACCGUAACUUCGGAAGAAGGUGUGCCCUAUUAGUGUGUAGUGAACAACGAAGCAUGAAUGGGUUGCAAAAAAUCGGUGGCUGCGACUGUUUAUUAAAAACACAGCACUCUGCAAACACGAAAGUGGACGUAUAGGGUGUGACGCCUGCCCGGUGCUGGAAGAUUAAAUGAUGGGGUGCAAGCUCUUGAUUGAAGUCCCAGUAAACGGCGGCCGUAACAAUAACGGUCCUAAGGUAGCGAAAUUCCUUGUCGGGUAAGUUCCGACCUGCACGAAUGGCGUAACGAUGGCCACACUGUCUCCUCCUGAGACUCAGCGAAGUUGAAAUGUUUGUGAUGAUGCAAUCUCCCCGCGGAAAGACGGAAAGACCCCAUGAACCUUUACUGUAGCUUUGUAUUGGACUUUGAACAGAUCUGUGUAGGAUAGGUGGGAGGCUUUGAAGCAGGGUCGCUAGAUCUUGUGGAGCCAACGUUGAAAUACCACCCUGGUGUGUUUGAGGUUCUAACCUAGGUCCAUUAUCUGGAUCGGGGACAGUGCAUGGUAGGCAGUUUGACUGGGGCGGUCUCCUCCCAAAGCGUAACGGAGGAGUUCGAAGGUACGCUAGUUACGGUCGGACAUCGUGACGAUAGUGCAAUGGCAUAAGCGUGCUUAACUGCGAGACUGACAAGUCGAGCAGAUGCGAAAGCAGGACAUAGUGAUCCGGUGGUUCUGUAUGGAAGGGCCAUCGCUCAACGGAUAAAAGGUACUCUGGGGAUAACAGGCUGAUACCGCCCAAGAGUUCAUAUCGACGGCGGUGUUUGGCACCUCGAUGUCGGCUCAUCUCAUCCUGGGGCUGUAGCCGGUCCCAAGGGUAUGGCUGUUCGCCAUUUAAAGAGGUACGUGAGCUGGGUUUAAAACGUCGUGAGACAGUUUGGUCCCUAUCUUCCGUGGGCGCUGCAGAUUUGAGGAAGCCUGCUCCUAGUACGAGAGGACCGGAGUGGACACACCUCUGGUGUAUCGGUUGUCACGCCAGUGGCAUUGCCGAGUAGCUAAGUGUGGAAGAGAUAACCGCUGAAAGCAUCUAAGCGGGAAACUCGUUUCAAGAUGAGAUCUGCCGGGGCCUUGAGCCCCCUAAAGAGUCGUUCAAGACCAGGACGUUGAUAGGUCAGGUGUGGAAGUG